RNAcentral lists this unclassified non-coding RNA (1956 nucleotides) under Hevea brasiliensis (rubber tree). Lineage: Eukaryota; Viridiplantae; Streptophyta; Magnoliopsida; Malpighiales; Euphorbiaceae. The record is from RNAcentral.
UUACAACGGCAGUUUUUCAAAUUAUCAGUCAUUGCUUGGGCACUAAAGCUAUAGCAGAUAUCAAGCCAGCCUUUAGCUUUCAUGUAAGCGCAGAAUAGAUCAACCAUAUCCAGAAUCAAUCCCUUCAAACAACAUUGUGGAAAAGAUUAACUUGAAAAGCAACAAGGACAGCAUUAUUACCUUGCAGCAGAAGCAAGUUUAAAACCAUAAUAUUGCAGCUUUAUUUUCCUGCAGCCUUCAGUCACAACAACUGCCCACAUAGUGACUAUGGUAAAAAUACCCAACACUGCAAACAUAUAUGGCCACCAACUAACAGCACUUCCUGAGAGCUGACACAGCAUCUUGUAUAGUGUAUCAGUGUAACCAGUCAGAAUUCCCACACAUAUAAUUAAUGACGAACCUUGACCUGAGACAACCAUGGACAGUCAAGAAAGUGGACAAUGCACGAGUAGACAACAGAAAGGAAGUGUAUAUUCCUUUUGGUAUAUCUAAAAUAACCAGUCAUCAUUGAUGUGUUUAAAAUUUUGAGGUUCUUGUUUUCUUAAGAGAGAAGUAAAGAAGGAAGACAACUGAAAAAAAAAAAAAUCAUAAGACCAGCCAAGAAUGGUAAACAAGCACAAAAGAAAACAAAUCACAAAAUCCAAACACAAUCCCCAAAAUAGUACCAAAUCCAGAUUCUGAUAUUGUAUCACAAAUCCAUGUCGUAGUCAUUGCACCGCAUACCAAUAAAAAAGCUGUCACCAUUACAUGCUUGACCCUGCAAAAGUAGUAAAAAUUUUAUAGGUGCAAACAAAAAUUUGUAAGCAAAGCAUUACCUGGAUAGUGUUGUCAGCAGAUCAUUCCCGCUUUUUUAAUCUUUUUUUUGUUAUAAACAUUACCCAAUUAUUGACAUCGUUAAAAAAAGGCCAGAGAAUGCAUAUGUGGAUCAUAACUCGCAUAAAACCAAUGCCAACACAAGUGACAUAACACAAUCUAGACAAGCUUCAGGCACAAAGCAACAAUUCCAAACCAAAAAUGAUAUUUGGCACAAUGCUUAUGGACAAUAUUGUGAAUUUUCACUUGAUCUGUUCACAGAAACUAGAAAUUAUAUUUCCAUUCAUUUUUGGGGACAUUGAUGGUCAAAAUAAAACAAAAGAUUAUUCUUCUCACUACAUUACCUGCGACUAGCUGCAUAAAUAGAAUAUGGAAGUGAAUAACAAGAAACCACCAAAGCUUCUAAUAUUGCAAAGCCAAGUGACAUCCACCAUCUGAAAUGGAAAGAAAAACAUAUUUGAUCUGUAACCUCCAACGUAAUUAGUUGAUUGAAAUAAUUUUCAAUGCAAGAUUCAGUAGUAAGGACUCGUCUCACUGCUUGAGAUGAAUAACUAGACACACAUAUAACUCUUAAUCUUCUCAUGGCCAUCUAAGCCUUCUUUUCGUAGCUUUACCAGGGAUGGAACCACAUGACACAGUACCUGCAUAAGUAUAGAUGCUAAUAUCUGAGGGCUGAUUCCAAGCUGGAAAAAUGACAGUUUAAGCUCUGCGGUGAAGUCACCAAGUUCAUCAACAGAUCCCGAGAUAAAGCUAAGAUAAUCUUGGGGCAUCAACCUUCUGUCAAAACCAGGCAGAGGGAUAUAAUAUCCAACACGACUGAUUACGAGUAGUACAGCUGUCACAAAUAACCUCCGCCUUAUCUCACUCUUAAAAAAUGAUUCAGCAGCAUUAUUCAGUACAGAACUUAUGCGUACAAAAUUCAGAAACCUGUUCUGAAACAUUUUAGGCUUGGACUGCAAAGUAUUAAAGUUAUUGGCAUCAUGAAAACUGAGAAGACCAGCCCCAUCACCAGCUCUUAGUGGUACAGCUUCUUGUUCAGACAUUGGCUCAACAUUCACAUAGUCACUCUGGAGCUGAUCUGAUGAAUUGAUGGUGAAUUUCUUGAUUUUUCUUGAUGGGAAAGGCCUUUUGUGCAACCAAAAA